Molecule: ribosomal RNA, 301 nt
Filed under: uncultured bacterium
Lineage: Bacteria
Description: partial 16S ribosomal RNA
Rfam family: Bacterial small subunit ribosomal RNA
Source: RNAcentral
CAGUAGCCACGGUAAUACAGAGGGUGCAAGCGUUAAUCGGAUUUACUGGGCGUAAAGGGCGCGUAGGUGGUUAUUUAAGUGAGAUGCGAAAGCCCCGGGCUUAACCUGGGAACUGCAUCUUAUACUGGGUAACUGGAGUGCAGUAGAGGGUAGUGGAAUUUCCGGUGUAGCGGUGAAAUGCGUAGAUAUCGGAAGGAACACCAGUGGCGAAGGCGGCUACCUGGACUGAGACUGACACUGAGGCGCGAGAGCGUGGGGAGCAAACAGGAUUAGAUACCCGCGUAGUCCCUGUCUCUUAUAC